RNAcentral lists this ribosomal RNA (630 nucleotides) under Streptomyces sp. SCAU5209. RNAcentral describes it as "bacterial SSU rRNA". It matches the Rfam family "Bacterial small subunit ribosomal RNA", at positions 108 to 752 of the family's 1533-position model. Lineage: Bacteria; Bacillati; Actinomycetota; Actinomycetes; Kitasatosporales; Streptomycetaceae. The record is from RNAcentral.
GAGUAACACGUGGGCAAUCUGCCCUUCACUCUGGGACAAGCCCUGGAAACGGGGUCUAAUACCGGAUAACACUGCGGAUCGCAUGGUCUGCGGUUAAAAGCUCCGGCGGUGAAGGAUGAGCCCGCGGCCUAUCAGCUAGUUGGUGGGGUAAUGGCCUACCAAGGCGACGACGGGUAGCCGGCCUGAGAGGGCGACCGGCCACACUGGGACUGAGACACGGCCCAGACUCCUACGGGAGGCAGCAGUGGGGAAUAUUGCACAAUGGGCGAAAGCCUGAUGCAGCGACGCCGCGUGAGGGAUGACGGCCUUCGGGUUGUAAACCUCUUUCAGCAGGGAAGAAGCGAAAGUGACGGUACCUGCAGAAGAAGCGCCGGCUAACUACGUGCCAGCAGCCGCGGUAAUACGUAGGGCGCAAGCGUUGUCCGGAAUUAUUGGGCGUAAAGAGCUCGUAGGCGGCUUGUCACGUCGGAUGUGAAAGCCCGGGGCUUAACCCCGGGUCUGCAUUCGAUACGGGCAGGCUAGAGUGUGGUAGGGGAGAUCGGAAUUCCUGGUGUAGCGGUGAAAUGCGCAGAUAUCAGGAGGAACACCGGUGGCGAAGGCGGAUCUCUGGGCCAUUACUGACGCUGAGGA